Molecule: ribosomal RNA, 1062 nt
Filed under: Triticum aestivum (bread wheat)
Lineage: Eukaryota; Viridiplantae; Streptophyta; Magnoliopsida; Poales; Poaceae
Description: partial small subunit ribosomal RNA
Source: RNAcentral
AUGAACAUUGCUCUCCUCACCCGAUGGCUAUGGCGUAUUGCCAACGGGGAGGGCGGCCUCUGGCUUACCAUCAUUCAGAAUAAGUACCUCCGAGGACAACCUCUUGCUUUCUGCCAGCGCUCUGGGGGAUCCCAGUUCUGGCAGGCGGUGAUUCAGCUCCUCCCCGUGCUCCGGAUUGGCACUUCCAUCUCGGUGGGUUCUGGGUCCUCGACCCUGUUUUGGCUCGACCGCUGGCUUGGAGAUUCCCCUCUGGCCGCCCGCUUCCCGGGCUUAUUUGCCAUUGCGACAGAUCCCCGAAUUUCCGUCGAAGCGGCCCUUAUUGACUUAGGGCGCCUCGCCUUUCGGCGCUCCUUUGGCCCCCAGGAGGUUGACGCGUGGGACGCCCUUCUACAGGACAUCGCUCUCUUGCCAAUGCAGGUAGAGGGCGCCACCGACUCCAUGGCGUGGCGUCUGGAGCCCUCAGGAUGCUUCUCCACGAAGUCUUUGUAUGCUGCCAUUGCCCCUUCGCUGGCCCCUGAGCCCUUUAGCCUGAUCUGGGACAUUCAUCUCCCCCUCAAGAUCCGGAUAUUCCUCUGGCAGUGGAUUCGGGGACGUCUCCCCUCUGGGGUGGAAGUCCGCAAGCGCAAUGGCCCUGGGGACGGGAUGUGUCCCCUGUGCGCCACGGUGGAGGAUUCGAACCACGUUUUCUUCAACUGCUCCACUGCCCAGUUCCUGUGGUCGUGCUUCCGUGAAACGGUCGGCGGACAGUGGUGCAAUUCCAACUUCCCUGACCUACUCGCGGAGAUCAAUGCCUCCUCCCCGCGUUACCGCCAUAUUAGAUGGUUGUGCAUUGGGAUCCUUGCAUGGACGCUUUGGAAUAUUCGCAACAAGCUCGUUAUUCAGAAAGUUCCUUUGCGACGUGCGACUGACGCGAUCUUCAAAAUGUGUGGCUAUUUGCAGCUUCGGCGGCCGCUUAGCCGCCCCCAGGACCGGAGCACCAUCGACACCCUCCUCACCGACCUUCGAUCGAUGGCCUUCCGCAUGGCGCCCCCGCUUCCGCCACCACCGCCGGAACCUGAUUAG